Molecule: non-coding RNA, 78 nt
Organism: Schistosoma haematobium
Lineage: Eukaryota; Metazoa; Platyhelminthes; Trematoda; Strigeidida; Schistosomatidae
Source: Rfam
AGCUCCCUGAAUUCGUACCAAGAUUUCGUCAGACACCAGACCAUCAGGAACAAUGAAACUUCCAAGAUAAUUGAAGCG